This 253-nucleotide ribosomal RNA is filed under the name uncultured bacterium. Its description in RNAcentral is "partial 16S ribosomal RNA". It matches the Rfam family "Bacterial small subunit ribosomal RNA", at positions 524 to 776 of the family's 1533-position model. The record is from RNAcentral.
UACGAAGGGUGCAAGCGUUAAUCGGAAUUACUGGGCGUAAAGCGUGCGUAGGCGGUUUCUUAAGUCUGCUGUGAAAUCCCCGGGCUCAACCUGGGAAUGGCAGUGGAUACUGGGAAGCUAGAGUGCAGAAGGGGCAAUCGGAAUUCUUGGUGUAGCGGUGAAAUGCGUAGAUAUCAAGAGGAACACCUGAGGUGAAGACGGGUUGCUGGGCUGACACUGACGCUGAGGCGCGAAAGCCAGGGGAGCAAACGGG